Molecule: ribosomal RNA, 426 nt
Filed under: Ixodes scapularis (black-legged tick)
Lineage: Eukaryota; Metazoa; Arthropoda; Arachnida; Ixodida; Ixodidae
Description: partial 12S ribosomal RNA
Source: RNAcentral
UAAAAAAUUUUGGCGGUAUUUUAAGCUUAUUAGAGGAAUUUGCUCUGUGAUGGACACAACGCCUUAAUCUUACUUAAUUUAGUAAUUUAAAUCAGUUUGUAUACCACUAUAUUAAUUAUAUUGAAUAGUUAUAUUUAAAAUUUUCUUAAAAAAAUAUAUUAAGUCAAGGUGCAUCUAAUAAUUAUGAAUGAAGUGAAUUACAUUAAUUUUAAUGUAAUUUUUUACAUGAAAAAAUUAAUUAGGAUUUAAUAGUAAAAUACUAAUAUUAUGAGUAUUUGAAUCAAGCUCUAAAAUAUGCACAUAUCGCCCGUCGCUCUCAGAAGUGAGAUAAGUCGUAACAAAGUAAAAAUACUGGAAAGUGUUUUUUAAAAUGAAAUCAUUUGAUGUUUCAUUUACAAUGAAAAUUUUGUUGUUUAACCAUUUUAA